CAGAAGGGUCUGCUGGGGGCACCCCCGGCGUUGGGUAGUACUUGGAUGGGAGACCUCCUGGGAAUACUAGGUGCUUUAUUUG
This 82-nucleotide ribosomal RNA is filed under the name Fundulus heteroclitus (mummichog). The record is from RNAcentral. Lineage: Eukaryota; Metazoa; Chordata; Actinopteri; Cyprinodontiformes; Fundulidae.